CCUACGGGGGGCUGCAGUGGGGAAUAUUGGACAAUGGGGGCAACCCUGAUCCAGCCAUGCCGCGUGUGUGAAGAAGGCCCUCGGGUUGUAAAGCACUUUCAGGGAGGAAGAACGCCUGGUGGUUAAUACCCAUCAGGAAAGACAUCACUCACAGAAGAAGCACCGGCUAACUCCGUGCCAGCAGCCGCGGUAAUACGGAGGGUGCGAGCGUUAAUCGGAAUUACUGGGCGUAAAGCGCGCGUAGGUGGCUUGAUAAGCCGGUUGUGAAAGCCCCGGGCUCAACCUGGGAACGGCAUCCGGAACUGUCAAGCUAGAGUGCAGGAGAGGAAGGUAGAAUUCCCGGUGUAGCGGUGAAAUGCGUAGAGAUCGGGAGGAAUACCAGUGGCGAAGGCGGCCUUCUGGACUGACACUGACACUGAGGUGCGAAAGCGUGGGUAGCAAACAGGAUUAGAUACCCCGGUAGUC
Molecule: ribosomal RNA, 465 nt
Filed under: Vreelandella stevensii
Lineage: Bacteria; Pseudomonadati; Pseudomonadota; Gammaproteobacteria; Oceanospirillales; Halomonadaceae
Description: partial 16S ribosomal RNA
Rfam family: Bacterial small subunit ribosomal RNA
Source: RNAcentral